CCUAAAAAUGCCAACUUUAAAUUCAGAACAUGAUGGACUAUGUAGUUUGGGGAGUACAAGUUCUUUCUCCCUAUAACGACUUAUUUUCACUUCAACCCCCCCCCCCAAAAAAAAAAAAACUGUACAUGAAGUACCGAAUCCGAAUCCUCAUUUGUGCCCAGUUGAACUCCAGUCUUUAUGUCUCUGAUUUCAGGAGGGAAUGUCGAAAGGAAAAUAUAAACAGAUCUUUUAGAUGUAGGUAUAAGUCUCCAUGUUCAGUGAAUUUUCCAGUUACUUAUAAGAACUGACCUUACUAUUAAAAUAUAUAACACGAUGUGUGCGCCAAUGCAGGGUGAUGGUGGUGGCUGUUGAUCCUUACAACCUGUACUUUCACCUUUCUUGUAGCGUGCCCUGUCAGAUGCAGGACUUUUUUACUAUCAUCAAGAAAAUAAAACUACAUAACCUCUUUCUUCCAAAAGUCCAAGUAGGGUUAAUGUGCUUCAGUUUUCAUCUGCAGUAGGAAAAGAGAGGCGUAGUGUGAAUGGGUUGCUCUUUUGAGGCCAAAAUGUUUACUGUUCUCUUCCUGUGAUAGGGCGCUGCCCUGUAAUUCCAACAGUAAGGCCAACGCGGAAGAUAAAAUAAGUUGACAUUUUACUGGCUUUUGAAUUAAAGCAUUAGACAUUAAUUACUUGAAAUUUUUAAUUAGUGAAGGUUAUAUCCAGUGCAUGGUGAGAUUGUGAUUUAAUACAUCCAUCCUUUUUAAAAUGAAUGCAAUAAGUAAUUUGUCUACCUUGUUUGAGACCUUGAGACAGUAUAAGCAAAAUGAGUCUGAGUUGCUAAUGACAGGGAAGAAAACCU
Molecule: long non-coding RNA, 837 nt
Filed under: Mus musculus (house mouse)
Lineage: Eukaryota; Metazoa; Chordata; Mammalia; Rodentia; Muridae
Description: long non-coding RNA chr13:78164119-78164956
Source: RNAcentral